This 514-nucleotide ribosomal RNA is filed under the name uncultured bacterium. Its description in RNAcentral is "partial 16S ribosomal RNA". It matches the Rfam family "Bacterial small subunit ribosomal RNA", at positions 28 to 523 of the family's 1533-position model. The record is from RNAcentral.
GAUGAACGCUGGCGGCGUGCCUAAUACAUGCAAGUAGAGCGAACAGAUGAGAAGCUUGCUUCUCUGAUGUUAGCGUUGGACGGGUGAGUAACACGUGGGUAACCUACCUAUAAGACUCGGAUAACUCCGGGAAACAGGGGAUAAUACCGGAUAAUAAUUUUAACCGAAUGGUUCAAUAGUGAAAGACGGUUCCGGCUGUCACUUAUCAAGGGACCCGCGCCGUAUUAGCUAGUUGGUAAGGUAACGGCUUACCAAGGCGACGAUACGUAGCCGACCUGAGAGGGUGAUCGGCCACACUGGAACUGAGACACGGUCCAGACUCCUACGGGAGGCAGCAGUAGGGAAUCUUCCGCAAUGGGCGAAAGCCUGACGGAGCAACGCCGCGUGAGUGAUGAAGGUCUUCGGAUCGUAAAACUCUGUUGUUAGGAAAGAACAAAUUUGUUAGUAACUGAACAAGUCUUGACGGUACCUAACCAGAAAGCCACGGCUAACUACGUGCCAGCCGCCGCAGUAA